GUGGGAUGGUUGAAUCAGAGUGCGACUGUGUGUGUCUGGAAGUGACCUCAACUUAAUCAGACCUCAACUCAAUCAACUAGGAAACUUCUAGGGCAGGGCAACCUAUUCCAGUCCCAGUUCUUGUAGUAAUUUGACCAUAGUGAAUCCACAACUGGGUUCAUUUAAUACUCCAAAAUUCAUGGUUUGACCACAGUUUUAUUUUGGUGGUGACUAAACUAACCCCACCUCCGGGAGAUGAACUGACAGUACCUUUGGGCAUCCUAAGCAUGCUCUGUCAAUAGAGGCCAUUGAGGACGGCUGUGGUGGCUCACGUGUGUAAUCUCAGCACUUUGGGAGGUCAAGGUGGGAGGAUGGCUUGAGGCCAGGAGCUAUGACUGCACACCGCACUCCAGCCUGGGCACCAGAGUGAGUCUCUGUCUUUAUUAAAAAUAAAUCAGUAAAUAAAAAAAUAAGGGCCGUUGAAUUAUUAUAGACUGAACUGUAAUCUUCUGUUUUUCUCGGAAUUGCAUUCUUCUGUCAAAUUCUGAAUAUUCUAACCAAAGUUUUCAUUUUCUAGGAUAAAACAACAGUCACCAUCAAGGAGAUAACAUCAUGCAGGACAGCUGGGAGGCUGAUGCUGAUGUGCACAGCAGAUAUGAAGUAGGCACCGUCAAGGGCAAGGUGAAGGGGCCCUGGCAGUGCCUAACACAGAUGUGUUUUGAGGAAUGUCUUCUCAGUCAUAAAACAGGCACCUGGCAUUAUAGAUGACAGAUUCAUAUAUAAAACAAAUGGGUACAUAAAUGCUCUCUGAGGCUGGCCUCAUUAUCGAGGAUUUAAACUAAGUGAGAUGAACAGAUGUUUACAACAUUUUACUUUCCACAGUUUCCGCAGCACUUAAGCUGCUGCGAUACUUGCUAUUUAAUUUUCCCUUUAUUCACUAACAACUCAGGAGCUCUCUGCUGUUUUAUCCUACCAUUGUUAUCUUCUUUUAGAAUGUAAAACAGUUUUAAUAGUAUGAUGAAUGGGCUUUUCCAGUUGUUAUAGAAUUGGUGACCAAGGCCCAAAGCAGGUGACAAAAAAGAGCUAAGCAACCAAGAUGUAUAAAGGCAGCUUAGUGGCCAGUGGCUGAAAAGGCACUACUGUCAGCAGUCCACUGCCUCAGCAGGUGCCCUUCAUCCAUCUGUCUAAGACUGUUGUGAGCGUAGUGCUACUGCCGGAAGGACUUGCCACAUGGAGAGUUACGUGUUCAUUCACAAGAGUCCCCUUUGCCUUAGCUAAGACAGAGAGGGCUCAAAGAGAACCACUCCUAAAGACUGAGUGUGAGUACACGUCAAGGAGACUGGCAUCUCAUUCCAUCAGACUUGUUGAUUUGCCUUGUGCUUAUCUGAGAAGGAGACAGAUGGCAGACGGAAACAGAAGUAUCGGAGGCGGCCUAUUUCUCACCGUUUGGCACGGCGAGGAUGCAUGCGCUUUCUGUGGGUCAAGUGAUAUUACAGAAAGCUGUCAGGUUUGCGUCUUUUGGCUGCUGCUCCACCCCAAAGGAAACAAUGUUGGCCAGAGAAGCAGCAUCAGAAGAUGAAGAAGGCAGAGGAGUGAAAGAGAAUGGAACUUGUCCCUUUCCCCCUGCAGGCCUCUCAAGUGAGCUGACGAGGGGAAGAAACGAUGAAUAAGUUCUGCUUUGUUGUCUGAUCUGCUUUCUUACACUGUAUAGUAUGGUGGAA
Molecule: long non-coding RNA, 1700 nt
Filed under: Homo sapiens (human)
Lineage: Eukaryota; Metazoa; Chordata; Mammalia; Primates; Hominidae
Description: HSALNT0366086
Source: RNAcentral